This 439-nucleotide ribosomal RNA is filed under the name Yamadazyma dendronema. RNAcentral describes it as "[Candida] dendronema partial 28S ribosomal RNA". It matches the Rfam family "Eukaryotic large subunit ribosomal RNA", at positions 151 to 648 of the family's 3401-position model. Lineage: Eukaryota; Fungi; Ascomycota; Pichiomycetes; Serinales; Debaryomycetaceae. The record is from RNAcentral.
AAGAAGGUAUCUUUGAGGCUGGCUCUUGUCUAUGUUCCUUGGAACAGGACGUCACAGAGGGUGAGAAUCCCGUGCGAUGAGAAGUCCAGUUUCGUGUAAAGUUCCUUCGACGAGUCGAGUUGUUUGGGAAUGCAGCUCUAAGUGGGUGGUAAAUUCCAUCUAAAGCUAAAUAUUUGCGAGAGACCGAUAGCGAACAAGUACUGUGAAGGAAAGAUGAAAAGAACUUUGAAAAGAGAGUGAAAAAGUACGUGAAAUUGUUGAAAGGGAAGGGCUUGAGGUCAGACUUGGUUUACCAGGCCAGCAUCAGUUUGGGUGGCAGGAUAAUAGCUAAGGAAAGUGGCACAAUUUCGGUUGUGUGUUAUAGCCUUGGUUGAUACUGCCUGCCUAGACUGAGGACUGCGUCUUUGACUAGGAUGCUGGCAUAAUGACCUUAAGCCGC